This 752-nucleotide ribosomal RNA is filed under the name uncultured Roseobacter sp. RNAcentral describes it as "bacterial SSU rRNA". It matches the Rfam family "Bacterial small subunit ribosomal RNA", at positions 394 to 1161 of the family's 1533-position model. The record is from RNAcentral. Lineage: Bacteria; Pseudomonadati; Pseudomonadota; Alphaproteobacteria; Rhodobacterales; Roseobacteraceae.
AUGCCGCGUGUGUGAUGAAGGCCUUAGGGUCGUAAAGCACUUUCGCCAGAGAUGAUAAUGACAGUAUCUGGUAAAGAAACCCCGGCUAACUCCGUGCCAGCAGCCGCGGUAAUACGGAGGGGGUUAGCGUUGUUCGGAAUUACUGGGCGUAAAGGGCUCGUAGGCUGAUUAAUCAGUCAGAGGUGAAAUCCCCGGGCUCAACCCUGGAACUGCCUUUGAUACUGCUAGUCUUGAGUUCUAGAGAGGAGAGCGGAAUUCCCAGUGUAGAGGUGAAAUUCGUAGAUAUUCGGAGGAACACCAGUGGCGAAGGCNGCUCACUGGCUCGAUACUGACGCUGGGGUGCGAAAGUGUGGGGAGCAAACAGGAUUAGAUACCCUGGUAGUCCACACCGUAAACGAUGAAUGCCAGUCGUCGGAGGGAUAUACUGUUCGGUGACACGCCUAACGGAUUAAGCAUUCCGCCUGGGGAGCACGGUCGCGAGAUUAACUCUCAGAGGAAUUGACGGGCGCGCGCACAAGCGGUGAGAGCGUGUGGUUUAAUUCCAAGCCACGCGCAAACCUUACCAACCCUUGACAUACUUAUCGUCUCUCCAGAGAUGGAGCUUUCAGUUCGGCUGGAUAACAUACAGGUGCUGCAUGGCUGUCGUCAGCUCGUGUCGUGAGAUGUUCGGUUAAGUCCGGCAACGAGCGCAACCCUCAUCUUUAGUUGCCAUCAGGUUCAGCUGGGCACUCUAGAGAAACUGCCCGUGAUGA